RNAcentral lists this non-coding RNA (101 nucleotides) under Nostoc sp. The record is from RNAcentral. Lineage: Bacteria; Bacillati; Cyanobacteriota; Cyanophyceae; Nostocales; Nostocaceae.
ACUAAAACUUGAGGUUGGGAAACUCUGGUGAGAUUCCGGGACUGUGCCGCAGCUGUAAUAAAAACUCAAAAGAGUUUUUGAGUCAGAAUGCCAACUUCAAG